CAGCACCUCAAGUGGUCAGGAUGAUUAUUGGGCCUAAAGCAUCCGUAGCCGGCUCUGUAAGUUUUCGGUUAAAUCUGUACGCUCAACGUACAGGCUGCCGGGAAUACUGCAGAGCUAGGGAGUGGGAGAGGUAGACGGUACUCGGUAGGAAGGGGUAAAAUCCAUUGAUCUAUUGAUGACCACCUGUGGCGAAGGCGGUCUACCAGAACACGUCCGACGGUGAGGGAUGAAAGCUGGGGGAGCAAACCGGAUUAGAUACCCGAGUAGUCC
Molecule: ribosomal RNA, 270 nt
Filed under: uncultured archaeon
Lineage: Archaea
Description: partial 16S ribosomal RNA
Rfam family: Archaeal small subunit ribosomal RNA
Source: RNAcentral